This 481-nucleotide ribosomal RNA is filed under the name Meniscomorpha albomaculata. RNAcentral's name for it is "eukaryotic LSU rRNA". Lineage: Eukaryota; Metazoa; Arthropoda; Insecta; Hymenoptera; Ichneumonidae. The record is from RNAcentral.
CCUGAGAAACCCAAAAGAUCGAUCGGGGAGAUUCAUCGUCAGCGAUUCCGGUACGUGGGCGGUUCGCGAUGCCGCGGGACCUCGGUCCCGUGACACGCGUCCGCGCAUGUUCAUAUUGCCGGUUGUCGCCGGCGUGCACUUCUCCCCUAGUAGGACGUCGCGACCCGUUGGGUGUCGGUCUACGGCCCGGAUGGUAGACUGUCGUGCGUCGCGCCUCGCGCGUGACAUGUCGAGACAGACGACCGGUCGCCMGUACCGGCUGCCCGGCGGUACUCGCACGGUAUCGAGCCGCAAUUAUUCGAACUGCGUCCGGCCCGCCGCAAGCGAGGUCAGUGUUUCCCGGAUGUGCGGACCUAGCGCCGUCACCGGGCCUGGCCGGCUGUUGGUAGGCGGUGUCCUGGGACUGGCUCAAUCAAAUUUACGAUACCGGUCGGCGACGCUACUGCUUUGGGUACUUUCAGGACCCGUCUUGAAACACGGA